UCGAGAAUCUUCGGCAAUGGACGCAAGUCUGACCGAGCGACGCCGCGUGGAGGAUGAAGGCCUUCGGGUUGUAAACUCCUGUCAGAGGGAAGGAAAUUUUGACCGAUCCUCAAAGGAAGCCCGGGCUAAGUUCGUGCCAGCAGCCGCGGUAACACGAACCGGGCAAACGUUAUUCGGAAUUACUGGGCUUAAAGGGUGCGUAGGCGGCUAUGUAGGUGGGGUGUGAAAUCCCUCGGCUCAACCGAGGAACUGCGCUCCAAACCACAUAGCUUGAGGGAGAUAGAGGUGAGCGGAACUAGCAGUGGAGCGGUGAAAUGCGUUGAUAUUGCUGGGAACACCUGUGGCGAAAGCGGCUCACUGGGUCUCUUCUGACGCUGAGGCACGAAAGCUAGGGUAGCGAACGGGAUUAGAUACCCCCGUAGUCC
Molecule: ribosomal RNA, 425 nt
Filed under: uncultured prokaryote
Description: bacterial SSU rRNA
Rfam family: Bacterial small subunit ribosomal RNA
Source: RNAcentral